CCUACGGGCGGCAGCAGUGGGGGAUAUUGCACAAUGGGGGGAACCCUGAUGCAGCGACGCCGCGUGGGUGAAGGAGCGCUUCGGCGCGUAAAGCUCUAUCGGCAGGGAAGAAGAUGACGGUACCUGACCAAGAAGCACCGGCUAACUACGUGCCAGCAGCCGCGGUAAUACGUAGGGGGCAAGCGUUAUCCGGAUUUACAGGGUGUAAAGGGGGCGCAGACGGCAAUGCAAGCCAGGAGUGAAAGCCCGGGUCCCACGGCCGGAACUGCUCUUGGAAGUGCAUGGCUGGAGUACAGGAGGGGCAGGCGGAAUUCCUGGUGUAGCGGUGAAAUGCGUAGAUAUUAGGAGGAACACCGGUGGCGAAGGCGGCCUGCUGGACUGUGACUGACGUUGAGGCCCGAAGGCGUGGGGAGCAAACAGGAUGAGAUACCCGUGUAGUC
This 440-nucleotide ribosomal RNA is filed under the name uncultured bacterium. Its description in RNAcentral is "partial 16S ribosomal RNA". It matches the Rfam family "Bacterial small subunit ribosomal RNA", at positions 338 to 795 of the family's 1533-position model. The record is from RNAcentral.